Molecule: non-coding RNA, 504 nt
Organism: Zonotrichia leucophrys gambelii
Lineage: Eukaryota; Metazoa; Chordata; Aves; Passeriformes; Passerellidae
Source: the annotation of a RefSeq genome assembly
AUGGGGAUGAGGAGCUGGAUUGGUUAUGGACCCAAAGUGGGCACCGCCAUGCCAGAAGAAGGGUGGCUCCGGGCGGCCGUGACCCUGCUGGAGUGCGGGGGGGACCUCCAGCCCCCCGGGGGGUCCCUGCGCCUCCUCUGCCGAGGGUCCGGGUUCAGUUUCGGGAAUGUGAACAUGUACUGGGUCCGCCAGAGACCCGGGCAGGGGCUGGAGUUUGUGGCAGAGAUCAGCUACGAUCUUUCCAGCACCUACUACGCGCCAUCGGUCAAGGGCCGGUUCAGGAUCUCCAGGGACAACGGGCAGAGCUCGGUGACGCUGACCAUGAACAACCUCAAGGACGAGGAUUCCGGAUCCUAUUUCUGUGCCAAAUGCGCCGGUGGUUUUGCUGACUGGGCUGGUGCUGCUGGUGGUUAUGGUGACCAUCCCGGGUUUGGCCCCUCUCCCUUCUCUCCUGGUCCUCAAGUGUCCCCACAGCCUGGACCCUACCCCAAAUCUCAUACUUAG